This 4380-nucleotide long non-coding RNA is filed under the name Medicago truncatula (barrel medic). Its description in RNAcentral is "lncRNA gene20586". Lineage: Eukaryota; Viridiplantae; Streptophyta; Magnoliopsida; Fabales; Fabaceae. The record is from RNAcentral.
GGAACAUGAGGCUCGUUUUCAAACACAUCAAGUCCAGCUCCACCCAAACGACCUUCAAGCAGUGCAGAGACCAGCUCUGGCUCAUCAACAUGCUUACCUCGACCGAUGUUAAUUAGGAAACCCUUCGGACCAAGUGCAUUGAUGACCUCCCGGUUGAUGAUGUGAUGGGUUUCAUCUGUAAGAGAGCAGGCAACGACUAGUAUGUCGCAGUUGGAUGCUAACUCAACAACAUUUGGAUAGUACUUGUAUUUUGGUUCCUGCUUUUGAGUUCUAGAAUAGUAACAUAUUGAACAAUUAAAACCUUCAGCUCUCUUCGCAAUUGCUGUGCCAAUCCUUCCCAGCCCAAUAAUGCCAACCGUUUUACCAGAGAACUGCAAAGACACAAUUAAUUUGUCGUUGGAAAAUGGCGGGGAGGAAUACUACAUGAGAAUACAUGUAACCGAUUUUAAUGAGAAGUAUGGCACAAUUAUAUGAUUGAAGUUUUGCAAACCUUACAGCAUGAUAAAUCACUGUGUCACAUUUUAAAUGUUUUUAACCGUUUCUUGAAAGCUUACAAACUGUAAAUAUUGAAAAAUAGGUGGUUUUGUCAAUCUAAGAAAAUUGAAUUGGGAUUCAUGCUGAGAGGUGCAGAUGAUAUUCACGCUCUGAUAUGUAUGAAUUAUGUUAAUAAAGUUGUGAGUUACAUAACUAUGACAAACAGUGGAGAUAAAAGAUCUUAAAAGUGCAAUACUAUACUCCGAACCUUUAUAUUGUGGCAAAUAGUGAACAAAUGCUGUCACAAUUGUGACUGUGAUGCCGCUGUGAUUACAUCUAAAGCUUUUAUAUUGCAGCUGCAGUUGCAAACCAUAAUUUAAAACUAUGUUCCUACUUAAAACGUUUUUAGUGUAAGUUUGGAUUGAAAGUGAGAAUGGUGGAAUAACUGCAAGCUGCAACGAUUUUGGUGGUGAAAACUACAGUUCAAAGUCUCAACAAAAUCACAGUACCAUUUUGCCAAACUCAACAUCAAUCCAAAUAUACAAUUAGUUUGUUUCCACAUUGGUUUCACCACUACUACCUUUUCAUUAUAUUAAGAGUCGCGACCCGCAAUAUGACCAUAAACGCAACGAGACUUAAAACAAAAAGCCAUGGUUAUUCUCAUCAAUACUAUUAGACCACAAUUCUUCACAAUAUCAAAUCCACAAAAGAAAAGCAACAUCAGUUUAGGAACUUGGUUAUAGGAUACUUUAGCUUUUGCUUUUUGGUGUAUAUAGAAGGAGCACCAUCCCUAUAACAAACCACCAAGCAUUUUUUCUUCACUCUAAUUCUCUCAUUGAUCUUCAUCAGUCAAUAAUUAACCACACCACACUGUGAGUGCCAAAAAUCCGAUUGUAAGAUUAUUCCUUCUAUUUACUAAUGCUAAAUCAUUCUAGUUAUUGAAUGGCCUUCAAUUUGCUAAAACAUAAUUUUGUAUGCAAUUGAACUCAAUUUUCCUAUCUAGAAACGUUAGAUCAUGCAAGUUAGAUAACCAUGAUGAAAUGAACAAUGAAGAUAAAACUUUUUUAAGUCUUGUAAUGUCAUUCCAGAGACCUCAAACUUUAUGACUAUGCUCCUAUACCUUAAACAUUUUUAGAGCAUGUUUGUAUUGGCGGUAAGAUUGGUUAAAUCACGAUGAACUACCUCGAUUUUGACAAAAGCUACAAUGACUUGUGAGUUUCUACAAAAUCACGGUACAACUGUUACCUUGUUAAACUCACCGCCAAUCCCAACAUACAAUCAGCAUGUGUGUUUUUACAUUGGUUUCACCACUACUGUUUUGGCAAAAGCUACAAUGGCUUUGGGGUUUCAACAAAAUCACGGUGCCACCAUAACUUUGUCAAACUAGUAGUUUUUCAUAAUACUAUCAAGAAUCGCGUUACAGCCAUGAUCAUGACACGACUACGACCAUGAUCGUGACAAGGCUUAAAACAAAAAACCAAUAUGAUUAGAAAGUUGGGUAUUAUGGUUUUACCUUAGUGGUCAACUUAUAGUCACCAUGCUUCCAGUCUCCACUUCUAACAAAUCGAUCACAUUCACAAAUCCUCCUAAGAAGUGUAAGCAUCAAACCAAUAGCUAAAUCAGCAACAUCAUCAGUCAACACAUCAGGUGUAUUCGUCACACAAAUCCCUUUCUCCUUACACUUGUUAAGAUCAAUCUUGUCAACACCAACGCUGAAGCUCGAAACAAUCUCUAGAUUUGGCAGUGCAUCAAUGAGCUCAGAAUCGGCGCCGCAGGAUCCGUUUCCCACCACCGCACGGAUCAACGCGCCAUGUUGAGUUAAGAAUUGAGAUUUUUGCGGGUAAUCACAUAUGCGGAAAAGGUUGUAGCGUUUGCUGAGUUCUUGUUCUAAGUAAGGGAGUACUUGAGCUACGAGGAGAACAUCUAUGGAUUCCAUUAGGGUUAGUGUUUUGAAAAAUGGAGUUGCAUAUGGUUGGAUUUGGUGCGUUAACUGGUGGAAUAAGCACACGAAGACGAUGCUGAUUCAUAUAGUAACAUUAAUUUAUAAAAACAAAAGUUCUUUUAUAAUAACAACAAUAUUCUAUCAAAAGAAACCAUAAGUUGUUUUUAACUCUGUCAUGUUUUAUUAUUUUUGUUUACAUGAGAAAAGUCAAACCAAAAAGAAAAACUAAACGACACACAUGAUAUCAGCUAAGAGGGGCAUCCUGCACCUAACUGAUUAAUUAAAUGUUCAAUUUUGUUAAUGAAUCAUGUUGCUAGGGAACGAACAAAUGAAUGAAGGUGGUAUUCUUAUUUUAUUCUAUCACAAAGUAAUGUUUAUUUUAUCAGAAGGAAAAGAAAAGACAACAGAAGAAACACUAUUUGUGGAGGAUGAGAAUUUUAUAUCUUCAAAGUAUCAGUAUUACAAUAUUAGCAGCCCCAAAUUUAACUAAUCAAUCUGCACAUAUUGAUGUUGAAUAAAGCUAUAUUGAUUCCAAAACACAGAGUAUAUGACAAAAUUCUAAUAUGUAUAUAAAAAAAAGGAUCAGAAUUCACUACACUUAAAUACUGGUGCAAUCACCGCAGAUAAAAUAACUGUUUCAGAAUUUUUAUAUUUAUAUCUGACAAACCUGCUCCAUACGUACCAUAUUAUUUGUUAGUUGAUCAAUAAAUUUGAAGCCAACUUAAUAACGUAGUUAUUUGAACAUGUCAUUUCUUGGCUAAAGUUCAACCAAAUCAUGAUUGAUAUUCAGAUUAAGAUGUCACACGAUUAAGAUGAAAUGAUUUAUUCUUUACAACAAUUGUUGAAGCACCAAUAUAGAUAUCUGAAGCUCUCACAAUCAAUCAAUUCCAUAUCACAAGAAUCCUUAAUUGAUGAUGUAACAUCAAAUUUUCUGGGUCAAUGGCCAAUCAAUCAUAUGUCCAUAGUUCAAUAGAGUCAUGAAGCUUAAACCAAGGGAGUUAACAGUGGCUUUCCAAGGAAAUGAGCCUCUAGGUUUCCAAGCACAAGGUCAGCCAUGGCAGUUCGAGUUUCAACCGUGGCGCUUCCAACAUGAGGCAACAGUACAACAUUUUCAAGCCCAAAUAGCUCCUCAGGAACAUGAGGCUCGUUUUCAAACACAUCAAGUCCAGCUCCACCCAAACGACCUUCAAGCAGUGCAGAGACCAGCUCUGGCUCAUCAACAUGCUUACCUCGACCGAUGUUAAUUAGGAAACCCUUUGGACCGAGUGCGUUAAUGACCUCCCGGUUGAUGAUGUGAUGGGUUUCCUCUGUAAGGGGGCAGGCAACAACUAGUAUAUCACAGUUGGAUGCAAGCUCAACAACACUUGGAUAGUACUUGUAUUUUGACUCCUGCUUUUGAGUUCUCGAAUAGUAGGAUAUUGGACAGUUAAAGCCUUCAGCUCUCUUGGCAAUGGCUGCGCCAAUCCUUCCCAGCCCAAUAAUGCCGACAGUUUUCCCAGAGAACUGCAGGGAAAAUACCAGACAAAAGAAAAUUAAUUUCUUGUUGGAAAAUGGAUGGGGGGAAUACUGCAUGGGAAUACAUAUAACCUCCCUUUUUUGUGGUACAAACAUAUAACCAAUUUUAAUGAGUAUGACAAUUAUAUGAUUGAAGUUCUACAACCCUUAAAACAUGAUGAUGGAUCAUCGUGUCCAAUUUUAAAUGUUUUUCACUGUUUUCUGAAAGCUUACAAAUUGUAAUUAUGGAAAAAAAUAAGUGGUUUGUCAAACUCGAGAGCCUGUGCAAACAAGUAGAACUUCUGCAGAUUCAUAAAAAUAUGUCCAAUAAGAUCAUUGUGUCGUAAGGAAAAACAAGUCAAACUUCUGCAGACUCGAUAAAAAUAUCAUUUUUUAAGUGAAAACAAAUGUCAUAAGCAAAAACAUUUAGAAACCAAGUCGUCCAACUCGGCCAGUUUCUGGGAUGUACC